This 337-nucleotide ribosomal RNA is filed under the name uncultured Burkholderia sp. Its description in RNAcentral is "bacterial SSU rRNA". It matches the Rfam family "Bacterial small subunit ribosomal RNA", at positions 22 to 359 of the family's 1533-position model. The record is from RNAcentral. Lineage: Bacteria; Pseudomonadati; Pseudomonadota; Betaproteobacteria; Burkholderiales; Burkholderiaceae.
GCUCAGAUUGAACGCUGGCGGCAUGCCUUACACAUGCAAGUCGAACGGCAGCACGGGUGCUUGCACCUGGUGGCGAGUGGCGAACGGGUGAGUAAUACAUCGGAACAUGUCCUGUAGUGGGGGAUAGCCCGGCGAAAGCCGGAUUAAUACCGCAUACGAUCUACGGAUGAAAGCGGGGGACCUUCGGGCCUCGCGCUAUAGGGUUGGCCGAUGGCUGAUUAGCUAGUUGGUGGGGUAAAGGCCUACCAAGGCGACGAUCAGUAGCUGGUCUGAGAGGACGACCAGCCACACUGGGACUGAGACACGGCCCAGACUCCUACGGGAGGCAGCAGAAGGG